GUUUUCAAAUGCAAAGGCAAAUGGAAGCUCAAGAUGAAAUGAAACGCUCAAACAAGCCUUGUGUUAAUACAAUAAAAGGGUGAUGGAGAUGAAGACGAUCUUGGAGGCUGAAUAAAAAAUUUGGAAGGGGCAGAUUGAUUCACUGAAACAUUAUGAUUUCCCCAGCUCCUCCAGCCCUAGACCAUCGAUGGAGAUGGGCAUGAAGACAGCGGAAGUCACCAGAAAGACAGCAAACCUCCAGCUAACAGCUAACCCUGUCUCAAAAUAAUUAAUUAAUUAAAAAAUAAAUAAGAAGCAGGGGAUGUC
This 306-nucleotide long non-coding RNA is filed under the name Mus caroli (Ryukyu mouse). RNAcentral describes it as "lncRNA (MGP_CAROLIEiJ_G0004055.1)". The record is from RNAcentral. Lineage: Eukaryota; Metazoa; Chordata; Mammalia; Rodentia; Muridae.